Molecule: long non-coding RNA, 1256 nt
Filed under: Sparus aurata (gilthead seabream)
Lineage: Eukaryota; Metazoa; Chordata; Actinopteri; Spariformes; Sparidae
Description: lncRNA (ENSSAUG00010014335.1)
Source: RNAcentral
GCUGCAGAGGAGACGCGAUGGGAGAAACAAAUGAGCAGUGAAAAUGAACGGCCUCAGUUCCUGACCUCCGGAGCCGGUGACAGUCACUUCCCUUUAAAUCAUGAGAUGAGCACAUUUAACCUGCAGCCUUGCUCCCUUUUCCUGCACGUCAGCGUCAGUGAAGGUCUGAGAUGAGGUCAGUCAGCUGUUUGCGGAACACGGAAAAGAGAAGAAGUUUCGGUGACUCAUUAAAAUUCCCCAUGGUUGUGUAAAAAUUCUUGUGCCAGCACUUUAAUUAGUAUCAUGUCAGAAGAUAUAACCUCAAUCGGUGCAAUUUAAAGAUUUGUGCAGUUUCACCCAAAUCCUUUUACUUAGAACUUUUGUGUUAACGCACAAAAUAUCAAUACAUGGUCUUCUGUUUUUUAUGUCAUGCAUGCCUUAUUUAGCCUAGUUGUUGUGUGAGGAAACAUGAUUGAUUGAUUGAUUGAUUGCUGCAGCUCCUGUCCCAAGAAAACAAGACAGGAUUUCACAUCCGAACAAAAACAACUCUUAAGAAACUUAACACACUGUAAAUGGAGGUGUGCUCACCCUCCACCUCGGGCAUUGUGUGUAACAGUACACAUCACUGUGCUGUUAGCAUCUGUAAUAUUUCUGUAUAUUUCCGAGUGGUCACGAAACAACAUUUCACUUGAACCCACAAAUCGUGUCAUUAAAGAAAAAAACUGCCAUGGUUGCAUCGACAUAUAAUCUCUACCUAUGUAUAAAAGUUUUUUUAAAUACAUGAUUGUAUUUGCUGUGUAAGAUUAGUCCAUCUCUGUAUUCUGAUGCCUGUAGAUCAGUUUGUUGGUUUCCUUUUUUUCAGGGGGGGGGGGGUUCGCACCACACCACAUCCUGCAGCAUGAGUUUAUCGAUUCUGAACUUGUGUGUAUUACAGCCAUACGGAAAGCCGCCCACUUUGACGCCCUGACAACAAUCGUUGCUGACUGAACUGUAAGCCGGAUGGACAGACUCGUUUUAAUCAGCACCGUCUGUAUCACACUUGACAAGGCCUUUAUUAAUGAAAUGUUGCCAAGUGGACUGAACACUGGCUUUUUAAGCGGGACGUCUGUAACUAUGGACAGCUGAACGUUUGAUUUCUAAUGUUCAGACCCUACUUUUGUACCAUUCUGACACAUGAUAAUAAAAUAAACACUUAACACUGAAUCCUGUUGCGACGUGUGUUCAUUCCUCAUCUGUCUUAGACCCCUCUCUCUGCUGACACUUUGACAUUUUACUGG